RNAcentral lists this ribosomal RNA (522 nucleotides) under uncultured bacterium. RNAcentral's name for it is "partial 16S ribosomal RNA". It matches the Rfam family "Bacterial small subunit ribosomal RNA", at positions 355 to 870 of the family's 1533-position model. The record is from RNAcentral.
UGGGGAAUUUUGGACAAUGGGCGAAAGCCUGAUCCAGCAAUGCCGCGUGUGUGAAGAAGGCCUUCGGGUUGUAAAGCACUUUUGUCCGGAAAGAAAUGGCUCUGGUUAAUACCUGGGGUCGAUGACGGUACCGGAAGAAUAAGGACCGGCUAACUACGUGCCAGCAGCCGCGGUAAUACGUAGGGUCCAAGCGUUAAUCGGAAUUACUGGGCGUAAAGCGUGCGCAGGCGGUUGUGCAAGACCGAUGUGAAAUCCCCGAGCUUAACUUGGGAAUUGCAUUGGUGACUGCACGGCUAGAGUGUGUCAGAGGGGGGUAGAAUUCCACGUGUAGCAGUGAAAUGCGUAGAGAUGUGGAGGAAUACCGAUGGCGAAGGCAGCCCCCUGGGAUAACACUGACGCUCAUGCACGAAAGCGUGGGGAGCAAACAGGAUUAGAUACCCUGGUAGUCCACGCCCUAAACGAUGUCAACUAGUUGUUGGGGAUUCAUUUCCUCAGUAACGUAGCUAACGCGUGAAGUUGACC